RNAcentral lists this microRNA (22 nucleotides) under Strongyloides ratti. RNAcentral's name for it is "str-miR-37b-5p". Its record names the gene str-miR-37b-5p. Lineage: Eukaryota; Metazoa; Nematoda; Chromadorea; Rhabditida; Strongyloididae. The record is from miRBase by way of RNAcentral.
AAGUAAUUGUUUCCAUGUUGAU